Molecule: ribosomal RNA, 492 nt
Filed under: uncultured bacterium
Lineage: Bacteria
Description: partial 16S ribosomal RNA
Rfam family: Bacterial small subunit ribosomal RNA
Source: RNAcentral
AGUGAACGCUGGCGGUAGGCCUAACACAUGCAAGUCGAACGGCAGCACAGUAAGAGCUUGCUCUUACGGGUGGCGAGUGGCGGACGGGUGAGGAAUACAUCGGAAUCUACUUUUUCGUGGGGGAUAACGUAGGGAAACUUACGCUAAUACCGCAUACGACCUACGGGUGAAAGCAGGGGAUCUUCGGACCUUGCGCGUUUGAAUGAGCCGAUGUCGGAUUAGCUAGUUGGCGGGGUAAAGGCCCACCAAGGCGACGAUCCGUAGCUGGUCUGAGAGGAUGAUCAGCCACACUGGAACUGAGACACGGUCCAGACUCCUACGGGAGGCAGCAGUGGGGAAUAUUGGACAAUGGGCGCAAGCCUGAUCCAGCCAUACCGCGUGGGUGAAGAAGGCCUUCGAGUUGUAAAGCCCUUUUGUUGGGAAAGAAAAGCAGCAGGUUAAUACCCCGCUGUUCUGACGGUACCCAAAGAAUAAGCACCGGCUAACUUCGUG